GUACUUGUAGCAAAGUUGGUAAUGCACUCGACUUCUAAUAGAGGGUAUGAGGGUUCAACCACUUCUAAGUAUA
Molecule: transfer RNA, 73 nt
Organism: Coprobacillus sp.
Lineage: Bacteria; Bacillati; Bacillota; Erysipelotrichia; Erysipelotrichales; Coprobacillaceae
Rfam family: tRNA
About the family: Transfer RNA (tRNA) molecules are approximately 80 nucleotides in length.
Source: Rfam